AAAACUCUAAGCGGUGGAUCACUCGGCUCAUGGGUCGAUGAAGAACGCAGCAAACUGUGCGUCAUCGUGUGAACUGCAGGACACAUGAACAUCGACAUUUUGAACGCAUAUCGCAGUCCAUGCUUUAUGUACUUUAAUUAAUUUUAUAGUGCUGCUUGGACUACAUAUGGUUGAGGGUUGUAAGACUAUGCUAAUUAAGUUGCUUAUAAAUUUUUAUAAGCAUAUGGUAUAUUAUUGGAUAAAUAUAAUAAUUUUUAUUCAUAAUAUUAAAAAAUAAAUGAAAAACAUUAUCUCACAUUUGAAUGUGAAAAACGAAGAGAAAUAUUUUCUUUUUCAAUCAAAUAAUACUGAGAAAUGUCUAGCAUAAAAAAUUGAAAUAUUUUUCAUCUAGAAUUGUCUCUUAUUAAUGAUUCGGAAAUAGAAAAAUCUUGGUUAUGUUAUUAUUCUUCGUUGGUUCGUUAAAAAUGGAUAAAUAAAAACUUUGCAUACAAGAAUUAAUAAAAAUGUUAUAACGAAUUUAAUUAAAUGUUUUAUCAUUAUAUAUAAAGAAUUUAUGGCAAGAUAAAGUUAUAUACAACCUCAACUCAUAUGGACUACCCCCUGAAUUUAAGCAUAUUAAUUAGGGGAGGAAAGAAACUAACAAGGAUUUUCUUAGUAGCGGCGAGCGAAAAAAACAGUUCAGCACUAAGUCACUUUGUCUAUAUGGCAAAUGUGAGAUGCAGUGUAUGAGCGUCAAUAUUCUAGUAUGAGAAAUUAACGAUUUAAGUCCUUCUUAAAUGAGGCCAUUUACCCAUAGAGGGUGCCAGGCCCGUAUAACGUUAAUGAUUACUAGAUGAUGUUUCCAAAGAGUCGUGUUGCUUGAUAGUGCAGCACUAAGUGGGUGGUAAACUCCAUCUAAAACUAAAUAUAACCAUGAGACCGAUAGUAAACAAGUACCGUGAGGGAAAGUUGAAAAGAACUCUGAAUAGAGAGUUAAACAGUACGUGAAACUGCUUAGAGGUUAAGCCCGAUGAACCUGAAUAUCCGUUAUGGAAAAUUCAUCAUUAAAAUUGUAAUAUUUAAAUAAUAUUAUGAGAAUAGUGUGCAUUUUUCCAUAUAAGGACAUUGUAAUCUAUUAGCAUAUACCAAAUUUAUCAUAAAAUAUAACUUAUAGUUUAUUCCAAUUAAAUUGCUUGCAUUUUAACACAGAAUAAAUGUUAUUAAUUUGAUAAAGUGCUGAUAGAUUUAUAUGAUUACAGUGCGUUAAUUUUUCGGAAUUAUAUAAUGCAUAAUUAUCAUUGAUUUUUGUGUUUAUUAUAUGCACUUGUAUGAUUAACAAUGCAAAGAUUCAGGAUACCUUCGGACCCGUCUUGAAACACGGACCAAGGAGUCUAACAUAUGUGCAAUUAUUGGGAUAUAAACCUAAUAGCGUAAUUAACUUGACUAAUAAUGGGAUUAUUUUUUAGCUAUUUAUAGCUAAUUAACACAAUCCCGGGCUUCUAUAUAGUUAUGUAUAAUGUAUAUUUAUAUUAUUUAUGCCUCUAACUGGAACGUACCUUGAGCAUAUAUGCUGUGACCCGAAAGAUGGUGAACUAUACUUGAUCAGGUUGAAGUCAGGGGAAACCCUGAUGGAAGACCGAAAACAGUUCUGACGUGCAAAUCGAUUGUCAGAAUUGAGUAUGGGGCGAAAGACCAAUCGAACCAUCUAGUAGCUGGUUCCUUCCGAAGUUUCCCUCAGGAUAGCUGGUGCAUUUUAAUAUUAUAUAAAAUAAUCUUAUCUGGUAAAGCGAAUGAUUAGAGCCUUAGGUCGAAACGAUCUUAACCUAUUCUCAAACUUUAAAUGGGUAAGAACCUUAACUUUCUUGAUAUGAAGUUCAAGGUUAUGAUAUAAUGUGCCCAGUGGGCCACUUUUGGUAAGCAGAACUGGCGCUGUGGGAUGAACCAAACGUAAUGUUACGGUGCCCAAAUUAACAACUCAUGCAGAUACCAUGAAAGGCGUUGGUUGCUUAAAACAGCAGGACGGUGAUCAUGGAAGUCGAAAUCCGCUAAGGAGUGUGUAACAACUCACCUGCCGAAGCAACUAGCCCUUAAAAUGGAUGGCGCUUAAGUUGUAUACCUAUACAUUACCGCAAAGUAGAUGAUUUAUAUUACUUGUGAUAUAAAUUUUGAAACUUUAGUGAGUAGGAAGGUACAAUGGUAUGCGUAGAAGUGUUUGGCGUAAGCCUGCAUGGAGCUGCCAUUGGUACAGAUCUUGGUGGUAGUAGCAAAUAAUCGAAUGAGACCUUGGAGGACUGAAGUGGAGAAGGGUUUCGUGUGAACAGUGGUUGAUCACGAGUUAGUCGUCCUAAGUUCAAGGCGAAAGCCGAAAAUUUCAAGUAAAACAAAAAUGCCUAACUAUAUAAACAAAGCGAAUUAUAAUACACUUGAAUAAUUUUGAACGAAAGGAAUACGGUUCCAAUUCCGUAACCUGUUGAGUAUCCGUUGUUAUUAAAUAUGGCCUCUGCUCAUCCUGGCAACAGGAACGACCAUAAAGAAGCCGUCGAGAGAUAUCGAAGAGUUUUCUUUUCUGUUUUAUAGCCGUACUACCAUGGAAGUCUUCGCAGAAGAUAUGGUAAUGGGCUAGAAGAGCAUACAUAUACUUUGUGUCGAUAUUUUCUCCUCGGACCUUGAAAAUUUAUGGUGGGACACGCAAACUUCUCAACAGCCGUACCAAUAUCCGCAGCUGGUCUCCAAGGUGAAGAGUCUCUAGUCGAUAGAAUAAUGUAGUAAGGGAAGUCGGCAAAUUAGAUCCGUAACUUCGGGAUAAGGAUUGGCUCUGAAGAUUGAGAUAGUCGGCUUGAUUGGGAAACAAUAACAUGGUUUAUGUGCUCGUUCUGGUAAAUAGAGUUUCUAGCAUUUAUGUUAGUUACUUGUUCCCCGAUAGUUUAGUUACGUACCAAUUGUGAACUUUCUUGCUAAAAUUUUUAAGAAUACUAUUUGUUAAACCAAUUAGUUCUUAUUAAUUAUAACGAUUAUCAAUUAACAAUCAAUUCAGAACUGCACGACUUGGGAAUCCGACUGUCUAAUUAAAACAAAGCAUUGUGAUGGCCCUAGCGGUGUUACACAAUGUGAUUUCUGCCCAGUGCUCUGAAUGUCAAAGUGAAGAAAUUCAAGUAAGCGCGGCGUCAACGCGGGAGUAAACUAUGACUCUCUUAAGGUAAGCCAAAUGCCUCGUCAUCUAAUUAGUACGCGCAUAAUGGAUUAACGACGGACGUUUUUCGUUGCCUCGUGGACAUAUUGCGAAGAACUUUGUUUUCCGUAUUUGAAGUAUACGAAUAAAUAAUUAGUGUUCCGUGAAGUGUGCGCAAAUUUUCGCGAAUUAAAAACAAGCGUUUGGAAGUAAUUGACAAUAAAUUAUUGGAAAUUUUCCACUCCGCACGUGUUGAGCGGCGAGCUUGCGGGUGAGCUUUUCGAAACAGCUAGAGAAAGCUUAUUGGUGGUAGUCACCGCUAAGAUUGUGUCUUGGACAGCUUAGUCACUCUACCAAUAGUGAGCUAUCACCAUAGCAACUAGCCCGUGUCAGCGAGCAUACGAUUGCUGGACUCGUCAAAAGGAGGAGCCACCAUCGGAGCAACGCCGAUGGAGAGCGACAGCAGUGUGAGUGCCUUGAGCGAAGCAGUGCCUCAAAGUGUCAAGACGAGGCAGGCGUAGAGCCAUCUGGCCUCCAAUGAGCUCUGCGCCAACGCAGGCGAAGCUGUUGCCCUGCCUCGAAUGGCAGUGCCAAACCCUUUGGGUGCUGGAGAGACGUUUUCAUCGCUGAGAGGAUGCCCGGCGCUACGUCAAGCGCUUGCCAACGAUGCUGCCCCCCCCGCUGCUGCCCCCGCUGUUGAUCACACUGUUGCCCCUGAUGUUUCCACUGCUGCUAAAAUCGCUCCACCACUGCCACCGCUGCCACCGCUGCCGCCCGUGCUGGCAAGCAGCCAUGAUGCAAGCUGU
Molecule: ribosomal RNA, 3954 nt
Filed under: Drosophila melanogaster (fruit fly)
Lineage: Eukaryota; Metazoa; Arthropoda; Insecta; Diptera; Drosophilidae
Description: eukaryotic LSU rRNA
Rfam family: Eukaryotic large subunit ribosomal RNA (bases 575-3278)
Source: RNAcentral